UUGUUCCUGCAGAAAUUUGUCGCAUCUUUCGAUCAGCUGGUGAAGAACUCUUGCAGCAUUAUAUAAGCUUGAAAACUCAGAAGAUCUUGAUUGUGUUGAAGAAGAGGUUUACAACCCCCAAUUGGGUUAAGCAUAAAGAGCCCAGGGAAGUUCAUAUGUUCGUUGAUCUGCUUCUUCAAGAGUUGGAUACAAUCCUUAAUGAAGUGAAGCAAAUAUUGCCUGAAGGACUACAGCCUAAGCAUCGGCGCACAGACAGCAAUGGGAGUGCCACUUCUUCUCGUAGUAAUCCGUUGAGAGAUGAUAGGCUAGUACGAUCAAAUACCCAAAAGGCCAGGAGUCAGCUUCUUGAGUCCCAUUUAGCAAAAUUGUUUAAGCAGAAGAUGGAA
Molecule: unclassified non-coding RNA, 386 nt
Filed under: Hevea brasiliensis (rubber tree)
Lineage: Eukaryota; Viridiplantae; Streptophyta; Magnoliopsida; Malpighiales; Euphorbiaceae
Source: RNAcentral